CCUACGGGUGGCAGCAGUGAGGAAUAUUGGUCAAUGGACGAGAGUCUGAACCAGCCAAGUAGCGUGAAGGAUGACUGCCCUAUGGGUUGUAAACUUCUUUUAUAAAGGAAUAAAACGAGGCACGUGUGCCUUUUUGCAUGUACUUUAUGAAUAAGGAUCGGCUAACUCCGUGCCAGCAGCCGCGGUAAUACGGCGUAUCCGAGCGUUAUCCGGAUUUAUUGGGUUUAAAGGGAGCGUAGAUGGGUUGUUAAGUCAGUUGUGAAAGUUUGCGGCUCAACCGUAAAAUUGCAAUUGAUACUGGCAGUCGUGAGUACAGUUGAGGUAGGCGGAAUUCGUGGUGUAGCGGUGAAAUGCUUAGAUAUCACGAAGAACCCCGAUUGCGAAGGCAGCUUACUAAACUGUGACUGACAUUGAUGCUCGAAAGUGUGGGUAUCAAACAGGAUUAGAUACCCGAGUAGUC
RNAcentral lists this ribosomal RNA (460 nucleotides) under uncultured bacterium. Its description in RNAcentral is "partial 16S ribosomal RNA". It matches the Rfam family "Bacterial small subunit ribosomal RNA", at positions 338 to 795 of the family's 1533-position model. The record is from RNAcentral.